UCGCUCUUUCCCAGCGUCUCUAUGGUAGAGCUGGCCUGUGAGGCGGUAGCGGCGGUGAGAAGAGGCUAGAAUCCGAGUUUCUCACGGGCCUGGAGGUUUGGGGUCGUAAGGGUCGCCAUGUCAGAGAAAAAGCAGCCGGUAGACUUGGGUCUCCUGGAGGAGGACGACGAGUUUGAGGAGUUCCCUGCCGAAGACUGGGCUGGUUUAGAUGAAGAUGAAGAUGCACAUGUCUGGGAGGAUAAUUGGGAUGAUGACAAUGUAGAAGAUGACUUUUCCAAUCAGUUACGAGCUGAACUAGAAAAGCAUGGUUAUAAGAUGGAGACCUCAUAACAUCCAGAAAUGUCGAAGCAAUCUAAACUUGACCUGUUUACUAAAUUCUAGAAUGGAACACUUUUAAAAAAACUUACAUGUUUAUUUCGUUACCUGUUUGAACUUAUUUUUGAUUUUGUAACAUAAAAAAUAAAUGUUUUGAUCUAAUCUUUGUUUACUGCAGAAUUCUUGCUCUUUUUGCCUUUAAUUAUUUUCUCCUUUUAUUCAUGAUUUUCUAGAACUUUUAUUAUGUAGAGCCAGUGAAAGUUUCUACUAUGACUUUAUUUUUUAAUGUUAACUAAGGUUCGGAGAGGUUAAAUAAUUUGAGGCUGGACCUCUGAUUCCCAAUUUAGUACUUUUCUUAUACUAUAUGUUUAAAUGUUCUGUUUAGAAGAUACCUCUUUAAAUCAGUUAGCUUAGUUUGAAAGUUUAGAAAGCAUUAAGGUAACCCUUUAAAGCCUGUGCUUUAAAAAUAUUAAUCAUGUUAAAUUGUUGUAAUUAGUUCAUGUAACAUUGGUUGAUAGAGUAUUAUUACUGCUUAAAGUCCAGAGUUGUUUGAUACAAUUCUGAGAAUAGGUCUUCUGUUAAAAUGAGGUAGUAGGCUUAAUUAUGUUUGUUAAUGUGCAUUCUGUGGUACUGAAUAACAACUGCAUCAAUUAAAUUUCUGCAAAGUGAUUACUGUGCCACCAUCUGCUUUUAUAAUUGGGAGAUUUAAUUUCAUUGAUAAAGAAUUCUUCCUGAUAAGACUAAUACUAAUGUUAGGAACAUUUUCAAACAUGAAUGUGUUACUCAUUUAGAACUAUAAUCACCAUGCUGGAGUAAAUUUAUAAAAUUUAUGUAACACAAUGUAGUGUAAAAACCAAGGUAGACGUGGGGCACCUGAAAUAAAAGUAAUGCCUUGAAAUGAUU
Long non-coding RNA from Condylura cristata (star-nosed mole), 1218 nucleotides. RefSeq lists it as uncharacterized. The record is from RefSeq and is a predicted model, not a curated record. Lineage: Eukaryota; Metazoa; Chordata; Mammalia; Eulipotyphla; Talpidae. The transcript has 3 exons.